This 77-nucleotide transfer RNA is filed under the name Ilyobacter polytropus DSM 2926. Its description in RNAcentral is "tRNA-Ile (GAT) (tRNA-Ile-GAT-1 1 to 3)". It matches the Rfam family "tRNA". Rfam says of the family: Transfer RNA (tRNA) molecules are approximately 80 nucleotides in length. Their secondary structure includes four short double-helical elements and three loops (D, anti-codon, and T loops). The record is from RNAcentral. Lineage: Bacteria; Fusobacteriati; Fusobacteriota; Fusobacteriia; Fusobacteriales; Fusobacteriaceae.
GCGUUCGUAGCUCAGGUGGUUAGAGCACACGCCUGAUAAGCGUGAGGUCGGUGGUUCGAGUCCACUCGAACGCACCA